Molecule: small nucleolar RNA, 87 nt
Organism: Ictidomys tridecemlineatus (thirteen-lined ground squirrel)
Lineage: Eukaryota; Metazoa; Chordata; Mammalia; Rodentia; Sciuridae
Source: Ensembl
CGCUAAUGAGGUAUUAGUGUCUAUUAUCUGAAUUUACUAUUGAUGUUUAACAUAAUACUUUGACUUCUACAAUUACACUGAGACCCU